CCUACGGGCGGCAGCAGUGGGGAAUAUUGCACAAUGGGGGAAACCCUGAUGCAGCAACGCCGCGUGAGUGAAGAAGUAUUUCGGUAUGUAAAGCUCUAUCAGCAGGGAAGAAGAAAGACGGUACCUGACGAAGAAGCCCCGGCUAACUACUUGCCGGCAGCCGCGGUAAUACGUAGGGGGCAAGCUUUAUCCGGAUUUACGGGGUGUAAAGGGAGCGUAGACGGCUGUGCAAGUCUGAAGUGAAAGCCCGUGGCUCAACCGCGGAACUGCGUUGGAAACUGUCUAGCUUGACUACUGGCGAGGCCGGCGGACUUCCUCGUGUAGCUGUGACAUGCGUAGAUAUUAGGCGGAACACCAGUGGCGCAGGCGGCCUGCUGGACAGAAACUGACGUUGAGGCUCGAAAGCGUGGGGAGCAAACAGGAUUAGAUACCCGAGUAGUC
RNAcentral lists this ribosomal RNA (441 nucleotides) under uncultured bacterium. Its description in RNAcentral is "partial 16S ribosomal RNA". It matches the Rfam family "Bacterial small subunit ribosomal RNA", at positions 338 to 795 of the family's 1533-position model. The record is from RNAcentral.